Molecule: ribosomal RNA, 468 nt
Filed under: uncultured bacterium
Lineage: Bacteria
Description: partial 16S ribosomal RNA
Rfam family: Bacterial small subunit ribosomal RNA
Source: RNAcentral
GACGAACGCUGGCGGCGUGCUUAACACAUGCAAGUCGAACGGAAAGGCCCUGCUUUUGUGGUGUGCUCGAGUGGCGAACGGGUGCGUAACACGUGAGUAACCUGCUCUUGACUUUGGGAUAACUUCAGGAAACUGGGGCUAAUAUCGGAUAGGAGCUCCUGCUCCAUGGUGAGGGUUGGAAAGUUUCGGCGGUGGGGGAUGGACUCGCGGGUUAACAGCUUGCUGGUGGGGUAGUGGCUUACCAAGGCUUUCACGGGUAGCCGGCCUGAGAGGGUGAGCGGCCGCAUAGGGACCGAGGUGCGGCAGAAGUGGGUACGAGAGGAAGCAGUGGGGAAUAUUGCACAAUGGGCGGAAGCCUGAUGCAGCAGCGCCGCGUGUGGGAAAGCGGCUUUCGGGGUGUAGACCGCUUUCGCCUGUGACGAAGGGUGUGUGGCGGUAAUGGGUAGAGAAACACCGGCUUACUACGGG